Molecule: microRNA precursor, 113 nt
Organism: Danio rerio (zebrafish)
Lineage: Eukaryota; Metazoa; Chordata; Actinopteri; Cypriniformes; Danionidae
Source: Ensembl
GCAUUUGUGUGCAUAAAAAGUGGUAUGGUACAGUUUGCUUUUAGGUACUUUUUGACAGUGGAAUCAGCCAUAAAAGCGUACUGUACCGUACCAUACCGUAUGGUACCAGGGGC